GAUGAACGCUGGCGGCGUGCCUAAUACAUGCCAGUCGAGCGAACAGACGAGGAGCUUGCUCCUCUGACGUUAGCGGCGGACGGGUGAGUAACACGUGGAUAACCUACCUAUAAGACUGGGAUAACUUCGGGAAACCGGAGCUAAUACCGGAUAAUAUAUUGAACCGCAUGGUUCAAUAGUGAAAGACGGUUUUGCUGUCACUUAUAGAUGGAUCCGCGCCGCAUUAGCUAGUUGGUAAGGUAACGGCUUACCAAGGCAACGAUGCGUAGCCGACCUGAGAGGGUGAUCAGCCACACUGGAACUGAGACACGGUCCAGACUCCUACGGGAGGCAGCAGUAGGGAAUCUUCCGCAAUGGGCGAAAGCCUGACGGAGCAACGCCGCGUGGGUGAUGAAGGUCUUCGGAUCGUAAAACUCUGUUAUUAGGGAAGAACAAAUGUGUAAGUAACUAUGCACGUCUUGACGGUACCUAAUCAGAAAGCCACGGCUAACUACGUG
Molecule: ribosomal RNA, 497 nt
Filed under: uncultured bacterium
Lineage: Bacteria
Description: partial 16S ribosomal RNA
Rfam family: Bacterial small subunit ribosomal RNA
Source: RNAcentral